RNAcentral lists this ribosomal RNA (482 nucleotides) under uncultured bacterium. RNAcentral describes it as "partial 16S ribosomal RNA". It matches the Rfam family "Bacterial small subunit ribosomal RNA", at positions 28 to 523 of the family's 1533-position model. The record is from RNAcentral.
GACGAACGCUGGCGGCGUGCUUAACACAUGCAAGUCGAACGACGAAGCCCAGCUUGCUGGGUGGAUUAGUGGCGAACGGGUGAGUAACACGUGGGCAACCUGCCCCAAACUCUGGGAUAACUCCUCGAAAGAGGUGCUAAUACCGGAUACGAACUAGACAGACAUCUGUACUAGUUGGAAAGUUUUUCGGUUUGGGAUGGGCCCGCGGCCUAUCAGCUUGUUGGUGAGGUAACGGCUCACCAAGGCUACGACGGGUAACCGGCCUGAGAGGGCGAACGGUCACACUGGGGCUGAGACACGGCCCAGACUCCUACGGGAGGCAGCAGUGGGGAAUAUUGCGCAAUGGGCGAAAGCCUGACGCAGCGACGCCGCGUGAGGGAUGAAGGUCUUCGGGUCGUAAACCUCUUUCAGUAGGGACGAAGCGAAAGUGACGGUACCUAAAGAAGAAGCACCGGCUAACUACGUGCCAGCAGCCGCCGCGG